UCCCAAUGGAAUGUGAUGGGAGCUUUGCCUGGCAAGGAAUUACUCUGUCCAGUACUGGGUUCUUCAGUACAAGAAAGAAAAGGAGCUACUGGAGAAGGUUCAGAGGAGAGCCAUAAAGAUGAUUAGAGGUCUGGAACAUCUCUCUUAUGAGGAGAGACUGCAGGACCUGAGCCUGAAUUGUCUAGAGAUGAGAAGACCGAGAGAGGAUCUCAUCAAUGGCCUAUAAGUAUCUCAAAGGUAGCAAGAAAUUCAAGCACGUGUUGUCUCAGGCAAAUAAAGUAACCUUACAAAUUGCAUUUCAAGGAUUAGCAAGUAGCAUUUAAUCUUGUCUUUUUCUAGCCUGGAAAGUAAAACUGAAAGCAACAUCCCAAACCAUCGAAUCCAUUCUUUCAAUGACUGUUGAGCAGUUUUGUAUCAUCCUCUCUUAAACUAAUUGCUUUUAUUAAAAAAAAAAAAAAAUUAUCACCACUGCUCCUGUUUGGAGGAUAUUCCAGCACUUCACCAUCCUAAUGAUCAGCAGUCUUCUAGUUUCUAGCAUGACUUUAUUUAACAGACAGUUUGUGCUGGAAUAAAUUCACUCUCACAGUCAUAUGCAUAGCCACCUAUGCAGCAUCUACAAUUUUCUCACUAUUAGGCCUGAACCUGCCCAGCAGAAACUGAUACUCAAAAAAACCCAACCAAACAACAAAAAAACCCAAUCACCACCAACACUUGGGCAUGACUGCUGAAUCCUCCCUUGACCCAAGAGAUCUCUCAUUACACUCACUUUUGGGUGACGCUGUAGGAAUCUAGCUGCCUCCUCAAAGUACUCGAGUUUGAGUUCUUUCAUGACCUUAGGAAGA
Molecule: long non-coding RNA, 842 nt
Organism: Pseudopipra pipra
Lineage: Eukaryota; Metazoa; Chordata; Aves; Passeriformes; Pipridae
Exons: 2
Source: RefSeq, a predicted model, not a curated record